RNAcentral lists this ribosomal RNA (748 nucleotides) under Clostridium sp. H2-7. Its description in RNAcentral is "bacterial SSU rRNA". It matches the Rfam family "Bacterial small subunit ribosomal RNA", at positions 84 to 845 of the family's 1533-position model. Lineage: Bacteria; Bacillati; Bacillota; Clostridia; Eubacteriales; Clostridiaceae. The record is from RNAcentral.
CCCCCCCCCUCACGGCCCCCGGCGCUCCUAGUACGCGUGGGUAACCUGCCCUGUACACACGGAUAACAUACCGAAAGGUAUGCUAAUACGGGAUAACAUAUGAGAGUCGCAUGGCUUUUGUAUCAAAGCUCCGGCGGUACAGGAUGGACCCGCGUCUGAUUAGCUAGUUGGUAAGGUAACGGCUUACCAAGGCAACGAUCAGUAGCCGACCUGAGAGGGUGAUCGGCCACAUUGGAACUGAGACACGGUCCAAACUCCUACGGGAGGCAGCAGUGGGGAAUAUUGCACAAUGGGCGAAAGCCUGAUGCAGCAACGCCGCGUGAGCGAUGAAGGCCUUCGGGUCGUAAAGCUCUGUCCUCAAGGAAGAUAAUGACGGUACUUGAGGAGGAAGCCCCGGCUAACUACGUGCCAGCAGCCGCGGUAAUACGUAGGGGGCUAGCGUUAUCCGGAAUUACUGGGCGUAAAGGGUGCGUAGGCGGUCUUUCAAGCCAGAAGUGAAAGGCUACGGCUCAACCGUAGUAAGCUUUUGGAACUGUACGACUUGAGUGCAGGAGAGGAGAGUGGAAUUCCUAGUGUAGCGGUGAAAUGCGUAGAUAUUAGGGAGGAACACCAGUAGCGAAGGCGGCUCUCUGGACUGUAACUGACGCUGAGGCACGAAAGCGUGGGGAGCAAACAGGAUUAGAUACCCUGGGUAGUCCACGCCGUAAACGAUGAGUACUAAGGUGUCUGGGGUUACCCCCUUUGGGGG